GGAGCCGGAGGGAAACCGAGUCUUAACCGGGCGUUAAGUUGCAGGGUAUAGACCCGAAACCCGGUGAUCUAGCCAUGGGCAGGUUGAAGGUUGGGUAACACUAACUGGAGGACCGAACCGACUAAUGUUGAAAAAUUAGCGGAUGACCUGUGGCUGGGGGUGAAAGGCCAAUCAAACCGGGAGAUAGCUGGUUCUCCCCGAAAGCUAUUUAGGUAGCGCCUCGUGAAUUCAUCUCCGGGGGUAGAGCACUGUUUCGGCUAGGGGGCCAUCCCGGCUUACCAACCCGAUGCAAACUGCGAAUACCGGAGAAUGUUAUCACGGGAGACACACGGCGGGUGCUAACGUCCGUCGUGAAGAGGGAAACAACCCAGACCGCCAGCUAAGGUCCCAAAGUCAUGGUUAAGUGGGAAACGAUGUGGGAAGGCCCAGACAGCCAGGAUGUUGGCUUAGAAGCAGCCAUCAUUUAAAGAAAGCGUAAUAGCUCACUGGUCGAGUCGGCCUGCGCGGAAGAUGUAACGGGGCUAAACCAUGCACCGAAGCUGCGGCAGCGACGCUUAUGCGUUGUUGGGUAGGGGAGCGUUCUGUAAGCCUGUGAAGGUGGCCUGUGAGGGUUGCUGGAGGUAUCAGAAGUGCGAAUGCUGACAUAAGUAACGAUAAAGCGGGUGAAAAGCCCGCUCGCCGGAAGACCAAGGGUUCCUGUCCAACGUUAAUCGGGGCAGGGUGAGUCGACCCCUAAGGCGAGGCCGAAAGGCGUAGUCGAUGGGAAACGGGUUAAUAUUCCCGUACUUGGUGUUACUGCGAAGGGGGGACGGAGAAGGCUAUGUUGGCCGGGCGACGGUUGUCCCGGUUUAAGCGUGUAGGUGUGUGUUCCAGGUAAAUCCGGUUCACUUUAACACUG
This 898-nucleotide ribosomal RNA is filed under the name Salmonella enterica subsp. enterica serovar Weltevreden. Its description in RNAcentral is "partial 23S ribosomal RNA". It matches the Rfam family "Bacterial large subunit ribosomal RNA", at positions 662 to 1558 of the family's 2925-position model. Lineage: Bacteria; Pseudomonadati; Pseudomonadota; Gammaproteobacteria; Enterobacterales; Enterobacteriaceae. The record is from RNAcentral.